GCAGUAGUGGUUCAAUGUUAGAAUUCCCACCUUCCAUGUGGGAAGCCUAGGUUUGAUUCCUAGCCAAUGCA
Molecule: transfer RNA, 71 nt
Filed under: Loxodonta africana (African savanna elephant)
Lineage: Eukaryota; Metazoa; Chordata; Mammalia; Proboscidea; Elephantidae
Rfam family: tRNA
About the family: Transfer RNA (tRNA) molecules are approximately 80 nucleotides in length. Their secondary structure includes four short double-helical elements and three loops (D, anti-codon, and T loops).
Source: Rfam by way of RNAcentral